GGGGAAUAUUGGACAAUGGGGGAAACCCUGAUCCAGCGAUGCCGCGUGAGUGAUGAAGGCCUUCGGGUUGUAAAGCUCUUUCAGUGGGGAAGAUAAUGACGGUACCCACAGAAGAAGGACCGGCUAACUUCGUGCCAGCAGCCGCGGUAAUACGAAGGGUCCUAGCGUUGUUCGGAAUUACUGGGCGUAAAGGGAGCGUAGGCGGCUUACUAAGUCAGGUGUGAAAUCCCCAAGCUUAACUUGGGAACUGCAUUUGAUACUGGUAGGCUAGAGAUCGGAAGAGGUGAGUGGAAUUCCUAGUGUAGAGGUGAAAUUCGUAGAUAUUAGGAAGAACACCAGCGGCGAAGGCGGCUCACUGGUCCGAUACUGACGCUAAGGCUCGAAAGCGUGGGGAGCAAAC
This 400-nucleotide ribosomal RNA is filed under the name uncultured bacterium. RNAcentral describes it as "bacterial SSU rRNA". It matches the Rfam family "Bacterial small subunit ribosomal RNA", at positions 356 to 773 of the family's 1533-position model. The record is from RNAcentral.